CAGCCGCCGCGGUAAAACCAGCACCUCAAGUGGUCAGGAUGAUUAUUGGGCCUAAAGCAUCCGUAGCUCGUUUUGUAAGUUUUCGGUUAAAUCCAUGCGCUUAACGUAUGGGCUGCCGGGAAUACUGCAUAACUAGGAAGUGGGAGAGGUAGACGGUACUCGGGAGGAAGGGGUAAAAUCCUUUGAUCUCUUGAUGACCACCUGUGGCGAAGGCGGUCUACCAGAACACGUUCGACGGUGAGGGAUGAAAGCUGGGGGAGCAAACCGGAUUAGAUACCCGGGUAGUCCCAGCUGUAAACUAUGCAAACUCAGUGAUGCAUUGGCUUAUGGCCAAUGCAGUGCUGCAGGGAAGCCGUUAAGUUUGCCGCCUGGGGAGUACGUACGCAAGUAUGAAACUUAAAGGAAUUGGCGGGGGAGCAACA
RNAcentral lists this ribosomal RNA (422 nucleotides) under uncultured archaeon. Its description in RNAcentral is "bacterial SSU rRNA". It matches the Rfam family "Archaeal small subunit ribosomal RNA", at positions 459 to 881 of the family's 1478-position model. The record is from RNAcentral.